RNAcentral lists this ribosomal RNA (1403 nucleotides) under uncultured bacterium. Its description in RNAcentral is "16S ribosomal RNA". It matches the Rfam family "Bacterial small subunit ribosomal RNA". The record is from RNAcentral.
AGAGUUUGAUCCUGGCUCAGGAUGAACGCUAGCGGCAGGCUUAACACAUGCAAGUCGAGGGGCAGCGGGGAGGAAGCUUGCUUUCUCCGCCGGCGACCGGCGCACGGGUGAGUAACACGUAUGCAACCUGCCCCUGUCAGGGGGACAACCCGCCGAAAGGCGGGCUAAACCCGCGUACAUGCCACCGGGGCAUCCCGGAGGCAGGAAAGGCUUCGGCCGGACAGGGAUGGGCAUGCGGCGCAUUAGGCAGGAGGCGGGGUAACGGCCCACCUAACCGACGAUGCGUAGGGGUUCUGAGAGGAAGGUCCCCCACACUGGUACUGAGACACGGACCAGACUCCUACGGGAGGCAGCAGUGAGGAAUAUUGGUCAAUGGUCGGGAGACUGAACCAGCCAAACCGCGUGAGGGAGGAAGGUACAGAGUAUCGUAAACCUCUUUUGUCAGGGAACAAAGGCGGGGACGUGUCCCCGGAUGAGUGUACCUGAAGAAAAAGCAUCGGCUAACUCCGUGCCAGCAGCCGCGGUAAUACGGAGGAUGCGAGCGUUAUCCGGAUUUAUUGGGUUUAAAGGGUGCGCAGGCGGUCUGUUAAGUCAGCGGUCAAAGCCCGGGGCUCAACCCCGGCCCGCCGUUGAAACUGGCAGUCUCGAGUUGGAGAGAAGUAUGCGGAAUGCGCGGUGUAGCGGUGAAAUGCAUAGAUAUCGCGCAGAACUCCGAUUGCGAAGGCAGCAUGCCGGCUCCACACUGACGCUGAGGCACGAAAGCGUGGGUAUCGAACAAAAUUAGAUACCCUGGUAGUCCACGCAGUAAACGAUGAAUGCAGGCUGUCCGGGGGGAUUGAACCCUGGGUGGCGAAGAGAAAGGGAUAAGCAUUCCUCCAGGGGAGUACGCCGGCAGCGGUGAAACUCAAAGGAAUUGACGGGGGCCCGCACAAGUGGAGGAACAUGUGGUUUAAUUCGAUGAUACGCGAGGAACCUUACCCGGGCUCGAACGGGGAGGUGACUCAGGCAGAGACGCCUGUUUCCCACGGGACACUCCCCGAGGUGCUGCAUGGUUGUCGUCAGCUCGUGCCGUGAGGUGUCGGCUUAAGUGCCAUAACGAGCGCAACCCCCGCGUGCAGUUGCUAACAGAUAACGCUGAGGACUCUGCACGGACUGCCGGCGCAAGCCGCGAGGAAGGCGGGGAUGACGUCAAAUCAGCACGGCCCUUACGUCCGGGGCGACACACGUGUUACAAUGGGUGGUACAGCGGGAAGCCAGGCGGCGACGCCGAGCGGAACCCGAAAUCCACUCUCAGUUCGGAUCGGAGUCUGCAACCCGACUCCGUGAAGCUGGAUUCGCUAGUAAUCGCGCAUCAGCCAUGGCGCGGUGAAUACGUUCCCGGGCCUUGCACACACCGCCCGUCA